This is a long non-coding RNA of Apis cerana (Asiatic honeybee), 492 nucleotides long. RefSeq lists it as uncharacterized. NCBI's taxonomy places the organism in Eukaryota, Metazoa, Arthropoda, Insecta, Hymenoptera, Apidae. The record is from RefSeq and is a predicted model, not a curated record.
UGGAAUGUUAACAUAUGAUGAUCUAAUUCUGCUCUGAAGAAAAAUUUUAAUGUGCACUGGGAACAGUCAUACGGGCGUGCACCCAAACCGUGUUCUUGAAGCAUAUGAUUCUAAAAAAUUAAAAAUUGGAGAUGUUUGAAAAGACCAAUAGGUGCAGUGAAAAGAGAUUGACAAAUAUAACAGCUGAGAGCGGCACAUCCUGCAAAAGUGUGUUCUAUCAAAUGACUUUGCAAUUGUAAUGGACUAUUAGCUUCAAAUAGACAUAGAUGACAUCGUAAUGCCUCCAUAGAAGUUUUUCCUGAUACUUCCAAAUGUUCUUUCUUUAUAUGCUGCUGAAUCUUUGCUUCUGUUGCGAAUGACAUCUGAAAAGGAAAUAAAUGAAUUGAUCAUUAGAUUUUUAGACUUUAUUUAUGAUUUUAUAUAUGAUUUAAAAAGUGAUAAAUUUGUAUAAAUUUUCGAAAUAUCGAAUUAUUAUAUUUUAUAUUUAUCUAA